UACGGAGGGUGCAAGCGUUAUCCGGAUUCACUGGGUUUAAAGGGAGCGUAGGUGGGCAGGUAAGUCAGUGGUGAAAUCUCCGGGCUUAACCCGGAAACUGCCAUUGAUACUAUUUGUCUUGAAUUAUCUGGAGGUAAGCGGAAUAUGUCAUGUAGCGGUGAAAUGCUUAGAUAUGACAUAGAACACCAAUUGCGAAGGCAGCUUACUACGGAUAUAUUGACACUGAGGCUCGAAAGCGUGGGGAUCAAACAGG
This 253-nucleotide ribosomal RNA is filed under the name uncultured bacterium. Its description in RNAcentral is "partial 16S ribosomal RNA". It matches the Rfam family "Bacterial small subunit ribosomal RNA", at positions 524 to 776 of the family's 1533-position model. The record is from RNAcentral.